Molecule: ribosomal RNA, 118 nt
Filed under: Plagiomnium arbusculum
Lineage: Eukaryota; Viridiplantae; Streptophyta; Bryopsida; Bryales; Mniaceae
Description: partial 5.8S ribosomal RNA
Rfam family: 5.8S ribosomal RNA
About the family: 5.8S ribosomal RNA (5.8S rRNA) is a component of the large subunit of the eukaryotic ribosome. It is transcribed by RNA polymerase I as part of the 45S precursor that also contains 18S and 28S rRNA.
Source: RNAcentral
AAGAACGCAAGCGAAAUGCGAUACGUAGUGUGAAUUGCAGAAUUCCGCGAAUCAUCGAGUCUUUGAACGCAAGUUGCGCCCGAGGCUUGUCCGAGGGCAUUUCCGCUAGAGCGUCACC